CCUACGGGAGGCUGCAGUGGGGAAUAUUGGACAAUGGGGGGAACCCUGAUCCAGCCAUGCCGCGUGUGUGAAGAAGGCCCUCGGGUUGUAAAGCACUUUCAGUGAGGAAGAACGCCUGGUGGUUAAUACCCAUCAGGAAAGACAUCACUCACAGAAGAAGCACCGGCUAACUCCGUGCCAGCAGCCGCGGUAAUACGGAGGGUGCGAGCGUUAAUCGGAAUUACUGGGCGUAAAGCGCGCGUAGGUGGCUUGAUAAGCCGGUUGUGAAAGCCCCGGGCUCAACCUGGGAACGGCAUCCGGAACUGUCGAGCUAGAGGGCAGGAGAGGAAGGUGGAAUUCCCGGUGUAGCGGUGAAAUGCGUAGAGAUCGGGAGGAAGACCAGUGGCGAAGGCGGCCUUCUGGACUGAAACUGACACUGAGGUGCGAAAGCGUGGGUAGCAAACAGGAUUAGAUACCCUAGUAGUC
RNAcentral lists this ribosomal RNA (465 nucleotides) under Vreelandella stevensii. RNAcentral describes it as "partial 16S ribosomal RNA". It matches the Rfam family "Bacterial small subunit ribosomal RNA", at positions 338 to 795 of the family's 1533-position model. Lineage: Bacteria; Pseudomonadati; Pseudomonadota; Gammaproteobacteria; Oceanospirillales; Halomonadaceae. The record is from RNAcentral.